This 789-nucleotide ribosomal RNA is filed under the name Brachionus quadridentatus cluniorbicularis. RNAcentral describes it as "SSU rRNA". It matches the Rfam family "Eukaryotic small subunit ribosomal RNA", at positions 104 to 890 of the family's 1831-position model. Lineage: Eukaryota; Metazoa; Rotifera; Eurotatoria; Ploima; Brachionidae. The record is from RNAcentral.
AAUCAGUUAUGGUUCCUUAGAUCGUUCAUACUACAUGGAUAACUGUGGUAAUUCUAGAGCUAAUACAUGCAAAAAGCUCCGACCGUAUGGGAAGAGCGCUUUUAUUAGACCAAAACCAAUGGGGUCGCAAGAUCCCUUUGUAUGGUGACUCUGGAUAACUUUGUGCUGAUCGCAUGGCCUAGAGCCGGCGACGUAUCUUUCAAGUGUCUGCCCUAUCAACUUUCGAUGGUAAGCGAUUUGCCUACCAUGGUUGUAACGGGUAACGGGGAAUCAGGGUUCGAUUCCGGAGAGGGAGCAUGAGAAAUGGCUACCACAUCUACGGAAGGCAGCAGGCGCGCAAAUUACCCACUCCUAGAACGGGGAGGUAGUGACGAAAAAUAACAAUACCGGACUCAAUGAGGCUCGGUAAUUGAAAUGAGUACAGUUUAAAACCCUUAACGAGGAUCUAUUGGAGGGCAAGUCUGGUGCCAGCAGCCGCGGUAAUUCCAGCUCCAAUAGCGUAUAUUAAAGUUGUUGCAGUUAAAAAGCUCGUAGUUGGAUCUCGGGUACUAGCAUGUGGUACGCUUAACUGCUGUUACUACAUGUCUGGUCCUAAUCAACCGGUUGGCCGUUGAUGCCCUUUAUUGGGUGUUUUCGGUAGCCGGUACGUUUACUUUGAGAAAAUUAGAGUGCUUAAAGCAGGCCUUACGCCUGAAUAAUGUUGCAUGGAAUAAUAGAAUAGGACCUCGGUUCUAUUUUGUUGGUUUUGUAGAGCAUUGAGGUAAUGAUUAAUAGGGACAGACGGGGGCA